Sinocyclocheilus grahami is the source of this 210-nucleotide long non-coding RNA. RefSeq lists it as uncharacterized. The transcript is spliced from 3 exons. The record is from RefSeq and is a predicted model, not a curated record. NCBI's taxonomy places the organism in Eukaryota, Metazoa, Chordata, Actinopteri, Cypriniformes, Cyprinidae.
CAGCACUGGACACAGCUGUUCGGAGAGGAUUCCCAUCAUGAAAGCAGACGGGUCUGAGAAGUUGGCUGAACUCUGUUAUGUGAGCGCUCUUGAAGAUCUGGGGUUUGUGAAAGCUCAAGACGUCCUCGUCUCUGAAUCGUCACAGGGUCCCAAUGAGGCAGAGACGGUCAUGCGACCUCGAGAGACCCUGGAGUACAAGGCAGCGCUGGA